AUGCUUGUCUUUGUGUUUUGUCAUCACCUCUUGGCGCCGCCGCAUGACGCCUCUUCUUCAACGCCUCUUAAACGGGGAGCAGCUCAAAAGAUACAGCAAGUCUUCUACGGGGCGUCGGCCGCUGAGGAGGAGGAUGAGGAGGAGGAGGAGGAGGAGGAGCUCCCAGUGGCUCGUCUGAGUGAGACCACGUUGUCAGAGACAGACUUCUUCCUUUUGACAGAAAAGGCCAGAGGACAGAUUUCUGUCACUGACUCUUCAAAGAGGAAAAAAAACAGGUCGCCUCCACAAACCGUCGUUAUAGUCCAGCAGACCGACAGAGACAUGAGGGACACCGAGACACUAAGAGAAGUCUCAGACGAGAGGAAAGACGGCGGUUCAGUCAGACAGCUGCAGGACGAGGGGGUGCAGGACACCGAGGGUACAGGAGAGAGACAACCGGAAGUCAGGAAAACUACUGCAGUCAAAGAAAUAGAACGAGGAGAGACCGAGGAAUCGGUGCAUCAUCGUGCUAAAAUCAUCUCAGACAAAGCAGAGGAUGAGGACAGUGUAACUGAGACAGUCACAAUCCAGCAGACAGAGGUCACAGUGAAGAGGUCACAAGGGGGGUCCACUUGGGGGAAGAAGGUAGAAGAGAAAACUAUUAGAAAAGAGGACAGUGUAGAUAAAGCAGCUGUCAGUCCCGCAUCCAACAAAGAUGAGACUAGUGCGCCAGAAAAGGCUCCGGUUAAGAAACCAGAGAACAAGAAGGCUGAUGAGACAGUAACAGAAGCUCGGCUCCGGAGGCCAAAAGAGACUCAAUCUGACUUUGUUGCUGCAAGAAGUGACGCAGAGAAGAAGAAAGAGGAAUCCAAGGAACAAACAAGUCUUAAAGUGGAGGAUUGGGUCCAGAGAAAACCCUCUGGACCAGCUGCUUCCAGAGGUACACAGAGUCUUUUCCAUCUUUCUUCUUCUUUUAUGGACCACAGGGGGGCACCAUUCCCUCCCCCCCUAAACGUCUCCUGA
Molecule: long non-coding RNA, 1002 nt
Organism: Gasterosteus aculeatus (three-spined stickleback)
Lineage: Eukaryota; Metazoa; Chordata; Actinopteri; Perciformes; Gasterosteidae
Source: Ensembl